GGGUUGAAUCAUGCCACGAUCACAGACUGGGAGAUCACUGCCUCCUAGAUCUUGAGGUAGCUUUGGUGGGUUUGCCUCCUCUCUGGGCUCUGAAAAAGCAUCCACAGUUGCUCUGAUUAUGGUGGUGGCUGGGAAGCUAGAUUUGGUGGAGGUGCCAUAAUAGGAGGUCAAGGUGGCACUGUCGAGAGGACUGGUUGCACCACAGGAGGGGGUGUAGG
RNAcentral lists this long non-coding RNA (218 nucleotides) under Elaeis guineensis (African oil palm). RNAcentral describes it as "long non-coding RNA (EGUI_LNC050077)". The record is from RNAcentral. Lineage: Eukaryota; Viridiplantae; Streptophyta; Magnoliopsida; Arecales; Arecaceae.